Molecule: transfer RNA, 72 nt
Filed under: Chelonia mydas (Green sea turtle)
Lineage: Eukaryota; Metazoa; Chordata; Testudines; Cheloniidae
Rfam family: tRNA
About the family: Transfer RNA (tRNA) molecules are approximately 80 nucleotides in length.
Source: Rfam by way of RNAcentral
GGCAGGGUGGCCUGGUGGAUAGAGCACUUGACUGGGUCUCAAGAAACCUGAGUUCUAUUCUUAGCUUUGCCA